This 423-nucleotide ribosomal RNA is filed under the name uncultured bacterium. Its description in RNAcentral is "partial 16S ribosomal RNA". It matches the Rfam family "Bacterial small subunit ribosomal RNA", at positions 355 to 788 of the family's 1533-position model. The record is from RNAcentral.
UGGGGAAUAUUGCACAAUGGGCGAAAGCCUGAUGCAGCAACGCCGCGUGAGGGACGACGGCCUUCGGGUUGUAAACCUCUUUUAGCAAGGAAGAAGCGAAAGUGACGGUACUUGCAGAAAAAGCGCCGGCUAACUACGUGCCAGCAGCCGCGGUAAUACGUAGGGCGCAAGCGUUAUCCGGAAUUAUUGGGCGUAAAGAGCUCGUAGGCGGUUUGUCGCGUCUGCUGUGAAAACCCGAGGCUCAACCUCGGGCCUGCAGUGGGUACGGGCAGACUAGAGUGCGGUAGGGGAGAUUGGAACUCCUGGUGUAGCGGUGGAAUGCGCAGAUAUCAGGAAGAACACCGAUGGCGAAGGCAGAUCUCUGGGCCGUAACUGACGCUGAGGAGCGAAACGGGUGGGGAGCAAACAGGAUUAGAUGACCCU